This 2085-nucleotide long non-coding RNA is filed under the name Sus scrofa (pig). RNAcentral's name for it is "lncRNA (ENSSSCG00005020831.1)". The record is from RNAcentral. Lineage: Eukaryota; Metazoa; Chordata; Mammalia; Artiodactyla; Suidae.
GGAAUUCUCUUGGUUUUCGUACCGACCUCCUGUAUAGGGAUGGAGGGCUGGCUGCGAAUCAGGAGGCUGGGGGUUGGCCGAGGGGAGGGAAGCCAGGCUUGUGGCCCUUGCUUGCCUGGAACCUCCAGUGUCCUGUCAUCGUGAGCCCACUUUCAGCUUCUGUUUUUCAUAUGAUUAUGUAACAGAAUCCUUGGCAGCAUUAAAAAUUCAGUAUUACAAGCUGAUUGUAAUGCUGCCUCAUUAGACAGCGCUGUCUGGCCUUGUAUUAAGUGAAACACAGAGCAUGGCUUUCAGAUUAUAAACACCAAUAAAUAUUAAGGAUCCGCAGAGCGGGCGGGGCACCCCCCCACACACACACACACACACGCGCGGGCGCACACACACACACACACACACCUUGUCUGUCCACAUCUCCAUGCAACUCCCCCCCCCACCAAAAAAACCCCCAACCUCCCAGUCUGGUAAUGAUGACUUUGAUUCAGUCACAAAUUGGAGGCUGGCUUUAGGGGCUUCAUGCUGUGAAGAAAAGAAAAUGUUUCCAGCCGUUACCCCACAGCAUCCCCCCCCCAGCUUCUGUCCUUACUCAGUUUUAAUUCCCUCCUUUUGCAUUUGUUUUCCUGCUGCUGCCUUUUCAUAGCCAUAAAGGUCAUUCUGAUGUUACUAAAAAUGACCGCAAUGUCCAGUCUCAUUUCCAUGUGAUCUAUAAUCGGAAUCCCCCCCCCAGGAAAAAAAAAAAAGUAGAGUGGGGAGAGGAAGGAGGAAAAACUGAGUGUGUAGGCCCCCAAGGCUUUCCUCUAAUAGGAUGAUGGGUUUUAGGUUAAAAAAAUAUUGUUUUGUUCUUUUAGAUUCAGAAAUAAUAGGGAGAGAGGGAAAAGCAGUCAUUAGGAAGUUCACUGAGCUGCUUUCCAAGCAAGACGGGUGAAAAAUGAACCUGCUCUGACACUUGGCUCCAUGUGAAAACCCCAGUAACCUCUCCCCCCUUCCGUGGCCCUGGCCUUUUGUUCCUGGAGAACGGAGCUAAGGUGCUUUUUCUCCCAGACCAAAGGCAGCAGGCAAGGAGUCCCCUUGUGUGCUCAUCGGCCUUUCGAUGGCCUUCUCAUGGUUAUUGUCAAUGCAGGCUCCCCCAAACAAUUGCUUCAGGGAGACACAAAAGCAAAAACAUUUGUCCUAUUUUUUGAACCUCUUUGUUUUAGCUUCCCCCCCCCCCAUCCAUUCUUUAAAUUUCACAGUUUCUAUUUGUCUGCAGAGAGACAAACGGAACAGCAUGAAGCAAGCGCAUUUUACCGUAGGCCUCACUGGCGAUUGGAACGGCCUCAAUAGAAAUCCAGAUUCUCAAAACACUGGCUGACUUGGAGGAGAUGUGAAAUUUCAGCUCGGGGCUUUUAAGUGAGAUUAGCACAGAUUUUGAACCAAAAAUGCACUAAGAGGAAAAGAUAAGACAAUGGGAUUCUGGACUCAUUGGGGGCAAGUGUGAAAAGGGUCAUCUUUUGUUUAUCUCUGAGGAUCCUGCCCCAAGAAGCGGCCGCUUGAUAGAAAGGCAUUGCAAACCCAAAUGCAUUUCUUCAUUUAAAAAAAAAAAAAAAAUUGGAUUCCGGUUAUGGUGUUCCUGGUAUAUCGUUGAAGUGGUUGUUUUAAUGCACGUGUAGGGGAACUGUUGGUACGUACUCUGGUAUUGAUGCUGCGUUGAGAUUUUUUAAAAAACUGCAAUUUAUAUAAAGAGGCCACACCCCUUCCCCCUUUUCUCUCCCCUCCUGCUUCCUUUUUCCUUUCUUCGCUCUCCAACCAGAAUUCAGUGGUUUGCACCAGGCUGAGGGCAGAGGGAUGUGUCAGAGUGUGAGGCAGGCCUGUGGACAAAACAGGAGCCCACCUCUUUUUCCUGGCCCCAGACAAAGCUCCUCGCUCUCCUGUAAUGCAUGGACCCUGAUUGCGAUGCUGUCCUUAAGCUUAGGUCUGCCUUUUCAUUAACAUUCUCAAUUUCAAGGUUUAGCAACACAAAUGUAAGAAUCCCCCUGGGUAUAAAAGUCUUGCAUGGCAAAUUCUCUUGGCCCUUUCAGAAAUAUUUUUGUUUAAAAAAAAAAAAAAAAA